Molecule: ribosomal RNA, 510 nt
Filed under: Teralatirus roboreus
Lineage: Eukaryota; Metazoa; Mollusca; Gastropoda; Neogastropoda; Fasciolariidae
Description: partial 16S ribosomal RNA
Rfam family: Bacterial large subunit ribosomal RNA
Source: RNAcentral
GGCUCUUUGUAGACUAAAAAUAGGGAGUCGUACCUGCCCGGUGAAUUGUUUUAACGGCCGCGGUACUCUGACCGUGCAAAGGUAGCAUAAUCAUUUGCCUUAUAAUUGAAGGCUGGUAUGAAUGGUUUGACAAGAAUAUAGCUGUCUCUUUUUAAUUAAUUAGAAUUUUAUCUGCAAGUGAAGAAGCUUGCAUAUAAUUGAUAGACAAGAAGACCCUGUCGAGCUUAAAAAAAGUUAAGAGGCUAAGAAUUAAUAAACUUAAACAAUAGGCUAUUUUUUAUUUUGGUUGGGGCGACUGAGGAACAAAAGAAGCUUCCUUUUUUAAAAACACCAAUUAGUAAUGAUCCAGAAAAUUCUGAUUAAAAAAAUUAGUUACCGCAGGGAUAACAGCAUAAUUUCCUUUAAGAGCCCAUAUCGAAAAGGGAGUUUGUGACCUUGAUGUUGGACCAGAAUAUCCUAAAGAUGCAGCAGUCUUUAAGGGUUGGUCUGUUCGACCAUUAAAAUUCUACG